Molecule: ribosomal RNA, 433 nt
Filed under: uncultured bacterium
Lineage: Bacteria
Description: partial 16S ribosomal RNA
Rfam family: Bacterial small subunit ribosomal RNA
Source: RNAcentral
AAUGAACGCUGGCGGCAGGCCUAACACAUGCAAGUCGAGCGAGCAUUUCGGUGCUAGCGGCGGACGGGUGAGUAACGCGUGGGAACGUGCCCUUUUCUGCGGAAUAGUCCUGGGAAACUGGGGGUAAUACCGCAUACGCCCUUUUGGGGAAAGAUUUAUCGGAGAAGGAUCGGCCCGCGUUGGAUUAGGUAGUUGGUGGGGUAAUGGCCCACUAAGCCGACGAUCCAUAGCUGGUUUGAGAGGAUGAUCAGCCACACUGGGACUGAGACACGGCCCAGACUCCUACGGGAGGCAGCAGUGGGGAAUCUUAGACAAUGGGGGCAACCCUGAUCUAGCCAUGCCGCGUGAGUGAUGAAGGCCUUAGGGUUGUAAAGCUCUUUCAGCUGGGAAGAUAAUGACGGUACCAGCAGAAGAAGCCCCGGCUAACUCCGUG